GACGAACGCUGGCGGCGUGCUUAACACAUGCAAGUCGAACGGAAAGGCCCUGCUUUUGUGGGGUGCUCGAGUGGCGAACGGGUGAGUAACACGUGAGUAACCUGCCCUUGACUUUGGGAUAACUUCAGGAAACUGGGGCUAAUACCGGAUAGGAGCUCCUGCUGCAUGGUGGGGGUUGGAAAGUUUCGGCGGUUGGGGAUGGACUCGCGGCUUAUCAGCUUGUUGGUGGGGUAGUGGCUUACCAAGGCUUUGACGGGUAGCCGGCCUGAGAGGGUGACCGGCCACAUUGGGACUGAGAGACGGCCCAGACUCCUACGGGAGGCAGCAGUGGGGAAUAUUGCACAAUGGGCGGAAGCCUGAUGCAGCAACGCCGCGUGCGGGAUGACGGCCUUCGGGUUGUAAACCGCUUUCGCCUGUGACGAAGCGUGAGUGACGGUAAUGGGUAAAGAAGCAACGGCUAACUACGUG
This 468-nucleotide ribosomal RNA is filed under the name uncultured bacterium. RNAcentral's name for it is "partial 16S ribosomal RNA". It matches the Rfam family "Bacterial small subunit ribosomal RNA", at positions 28 to 507 of the family's 1533-position model. The record is from RNAcentral.